UACGUAGGGUGCGAGCGUUGUCCGGAAUUAUUGGGCGUAAAGGGCUCGUAGGCGGUUUGUCGCGUCGGGAGUGAAAUCCACUGGCUUAACUGGUGGCUUGCUUUCGAUACGGGCAGACUGGAGGUAUGCAGGGGGAGAACGGAAUUCCUGGUGUAGCGGUGAAAUGCGUAGAUAUGCGGAGGAACACCGAUGGCGAAGGCAGCUCUCUGGGACGGUACUGACGCUGAGACGCGAAAGCGUGGGGAGCGAACAGG
This 254-nucleotide ribosomal RNA is filed under the name uncultured bacterium. Its description in RNAcentral is "partial 16S ribosomal RNA". It matches the Rfam family "Bacterial small subunit ribosomal RNA", at positions 524 to 776 of the family's 1533-position model. The record is from RNAcentral.